CCACGCAUAGCUAUUUCCUUCAAGGUGAGAGUCUCCUCAUUUGUUCUUAAUCUGGUUCUUUCCAGCUUCUUCAGUUACCGCCUCACCUGCUUCCUCAGUCCCUCUUCGCAGAAGCUCCUUCCCCUGCGCAGACGUUCAGUGGACCUCCCUUCUUCAAGAGCAAAAACACGGGUCAUCACCUCCAGGGAACGGAGCCUCGCCCAGCCUCCGGAGACCCAGAGUGUGUCUCUCUCUCCAAGAGGAGGUCAGGUCAGUUUGGUGUCUCAGUUCUUACUCUCCAGAGACCUGGCUUUUCCUCCUCAUUCACACAUUCCUGUCUUCCUCAGCACAUCACAGCCCAGAGCGCGGGGGAAGGUCACAAGGAGCGGGCAAUUCGCAAUGGAGUUUCCCGUGACCCACAGCCAGAAGUUGAAGGGCAGAGGAUGGCAGAGAUCAGUGGCCCUGAGGUCUGACCGCCGGCCAAGGCUCCCGCCAGACCUCAGCAGAUGACCUAAACUCUGACCCUUCGUCUAACACCAACCAGCGGUGUGACCUUGGAUAAAGAAUUUAACCUCUCUGAGUCUAUUUCUUCUUCUCUGAAAUGGGCAUAAAUGUAUUUUCCUACAGUGACAUAGAUGUUUAUGCUUCCUCAUCUACAUUUUCUGGGAAAUCUAAAAUGACACAAAAUCAGAGCCUGGUGUGAAUAAAGCCCCAGAAGUCUAUAAAAGGAAAAUGGUUUGCCCAGGUCUACACAACAUUUUCCAGAGCCUUGUCCAACCUAAAGACCAGGCUUUUCAACUAUUAUACUUGGAAGGCCCCCGACUCCCAGCAGUUCCCACUGCUCCAGACUACAGGUAAAAACACUUAGUAACUGGUAAGACACUAGGUCUGAUGUGUUGUUAUUAUUAUAUUUAUAAUCAAUAUAAGGAUUGUUGUGGGUUCUUGUCCUCUAACAUUACAGCUGGUUUAUAUGCUCUUACCUUAGUUCUUUAAAAAUAGAAAUGAAAAAAUUUUAUUGCUUAAAAAAUCCCAUAUUUUUAUGUUUCCUCUGGUUUACUUUUAAUAGACAAAAUGACCACAGAAACUUUUAGGUUGUGAAGCAUGUUCCCA
This 1089-nucleotide long non-coding RNA is filed under the name Ailuropoda melanoleuca (giant panda). RNAcentral describes it as "lncRNA (ENSAMEG00000026795.1)". Lineage: Eukaryota; Metazoa; Chordata; Mammalia; Carnivora; Ursidae. The record is from RNAcentral.